CUGCUGCUCCUUUAUACUUGGGCUCGCAUUUUCUUUCCUUGCUUCAGCUCGAAGGGGACAGAACAAAGAGGCUGACUCGAUGAAUUUUAUGUUGGGUCAAAAGCCCGACGUAUUAUGUGAUGGUGUCUAGAGUUACCUUGUUUGUGUGCAGCGACUGUGGCUAAGUCGAUGACGAAUCCUACUUUCAACGCAACACCCGAGUUUUAGUAUUCAAAUAGAAACAAAGCACACGAGUGAAUAAAGAUGAGAAAACCGAACUGAGAAAUCAGAGAACAAAAGAAGUAAUUGUAUUCAGAUUUGUUCGGGAGAUCAAUCUCUGGUUUAGAUGGUCACCAAGACCAUGUAUUUAUACUAAAAACAAGAGGGUAUUUGAAAUUUGAAAAUCAUCCAAGGAGGGGGUGAGGGUUCGAUUGAAAAAACAAAAA
Molecule: long non-coding RNA, 425 nt
Organism: Lycium ferocissimum
Lineage: Eukaryota; Viridiplantae; Streptophyta; Magnoliopsida; Solanales; Solanaceae
Exons: 2
Source: RefSeq, a predicted model, not a curated record